Neogale vison (American mink) is the source of this 490-nucleotide long non-coding RNA. RefSeq lists it as uncharacterized. The transcript is spliced from 3 exons. The record is from RefSeq and is a predicted model, not a curated record. NCBI's taxonomy places the organism in Eukaryota, Metazoa, Chordata, Mammalia, Carnivora, Mustelidae.
UCCUUUUCUCUUUUUGGAAAUCUACCUCUCAAGACUAUCCAGUGUGGGCUUUAAAGUCUAGAUUGAAACUCGGAACCGAGCUGUGAAACUGCCUUCCCUUUUCUUUUUUCCAGAAAUUCGCUGCAUUACUCAGUGCUCAUCAUGCUCUGGAGCCUGGAAGUCCAAGAUCAAGGUGCCAGCACAGUUGGUUUCCUCUGAGGCCCUUCUCCUUGGUGUGCAGGUGGCGGCCCUCUUACUUGUUCUUCAUUGGUCAUCUGUCUGUGCAUGUGGCCCUGGUGUCUCCCACUUUUCAUAGAAGUCUCCGGACCUUUCCCAGAUGGAAUUCCACAGGCAGUUUUUCUGAAUCUGACGGACUCGAAAGCAUCAGCUUGCUUCUUUCUCUGGAAGCCAGUUUUUUAAUCCUGGGUCGCAUGUCGCUUUUUUUUUUUUUUUUUUCUUUUCAUAACUAUUUUUUUUUCAAUUUAUUUAUUUUCAGAAAAACAUUAUUCAU